RNAcentral lists this ribosomal RNA (433 nucleotides) under uncultured bacterium. RNAcentral describes it as "partial 16S ribosomal RNA". It matches the Rfam family "Bacterial small subunit ribosomal RNA", at positions 29 to 507 of the family's 1533-position model. The record is from RNAcentral.
AACGAACGCUGGCGGCAUGUCUAACACAUGCAAGUCGAACGAGACCUUCGGGUCUAGUGGCGCACGGGUGCGUAACGCGGGGGAACCUGCCCUUAGGUUCGGAAUAACUCCCCGAAAGGGGUGCUAAUACCGGAUAAUGUCUUCGGACCAAAGAUUUAUCGCCUUUGGAUGGGCCCGCGUUGGAUUAGCUGGUUGGUAGGGUAAAAGCCUACCAAGGCGACGAUCCAUAGCUGGUCUGAGAGGAUGAUCAGCCACACUGGGACUGAGACACGGCCCAGACUCCUACGGGAGGCAGCAGUGGGGAAUAUUGGACAAUGGGCGAAAGCCUGAUCCAGCAAUGCCGCGUGAGUGAUGAAGGCCUUAGGGUUGUAAAGCUCUUUUACCCGGGAUGAUAAUGACAGUACCGGGAGAAUAAGCUCCGGCUAACUCCGUG